RNAcentral lists this long non-coding RNA (245 nucleotides) under Salvia miltiorrhiza (redroot sage). Its description in RNAcentral is "long non-coding RNA (SMIL_LNC001311)". The record is from RNAcentral. Lineage: Eukaryota; Viridiplantae; Streptophyta; Magnoliopsida; Lamiales; Lamiaceae.
UGGGGAGAGGCUGCAAUUUUUUAGGGGGGAAGAGGCUGCGAUUUUUGAUUUUUUUUGGGGAGGGAAUUUGUUUGGUAUUUACUUUUUGUUUUAAGGGUAUCUUAGUCCUUUCAACCUCAAAAUGGGUACAUUUUAUAUGUUUAAUUUUGGGUGGAUACAUUUUAUGUUUCCUUUUUCAAAUAGGGUAAAAAACACCAUUAACCCUAAUUAGAAUCAUCCUUUCGGUGGAAAAUAAGAACCAUUCU